AAAAUAGGGAAUCCAGUGGAACACAACAUGCUAUGAAAGAUGACAAACUCAGUGCUACUACAUCUGUCGCUCAUUGUGGCAUGUUGCCCUGCACUGACAGAUUAGAGAAAAUCUGUGAAGAAGAUGACUUCUCGUAGAACACUGGACGGAGUGCAAAUGGCGACCUGACGCAGAUCCUAUCGUCAGCUUAGCCUAAGCGUCGGCACAAUGCCUUUCUAAGCAGAAAUCCCUCUCGGAAUACGCCGUGGAAAAAUGGAGAGGAGCAUCGAGAGGUUUCCGCUGUGCACUGAGGCAAGGGAGAACCUCUUGAACAUUACGCUGUGGCAGCACUGGGCACCGGCGGAGGAGGUGACGGAUGUCAAGGCAAAGCUGCAGAAUAGUCAAGAUUGGACCUAUAAACUACUGCCGCACCGGAGCAGACGCUGGCAGGCGGCGUUCAUCCCCGAUGAGGCGUUCAUUAUUUGCCUCUCCAGAUUUGACCAUCAAACUCGAUUUGUUUGCAGGUUUGGGUGUCGUCGUCAGUAACUCCUCCGCUGCCGUGGCUAUGCAUCGUGUUUUAUACAGGACGGGUGACUGAUCGAAGGCAGAGUAGGCAGCUGCCUAGGGUGCCACCCGGGGGAUAGAUGCUGUGGGUGUCCAGGUCUUAUCAGUGGAACCCCCUCAAUUAAAAAAAUUCCCUCCUGUUGGAAUA
This is a long non-coding RNA of Bufo gargarizans (Asiatic toad), 691 nucleotides long. RefSeq lists it as uncharacterized. The record is from RefSeq and is a predicted model, not a curated record. NCBI's taxonomy places the organism in Eukaryota, Metazoa, Chordata, Amphibia, Anura, Bufonidae. The transcript is spliced from 3 exons.